RNAcentral lists this ribosomal RNA (253 nucleotides) under uncultured bacterium. RNAcentral describes it as "partial 16S ribosomal RNA". It matches the Rfam family "Archaeal small subunit ribosomal RNA", at positions 474 to 727 of the family's 1478-position model. The record is from RNAcentral.
UACCAGCACCCCGAGUGGUCGGGACGUUUAUUGGGCCUAAAGCAUCCGUAGCCGGUUCUACAAGUCUUCCGUUAAAUCCAGCUGCUUAACAGAUGGGCUGCGGAAGAUACUAUGGAGCUAGGAGGCGGGAGAGGCAAGCGGUACUCGAUGGGUAGGGGUAAAAUCCGUUGAUCCAUUGAAGACCACCAGUGGCGAAGGCGGCUUGCCAGAACGCGCUCGACGGUGAGGGAUGAAAGCUGGGGGAGCAAGCCGG